CUACGGGGGGCACCAGUGGGGAAUCUUCCGCAAUGGGCGCAAGCCUGACGGAGCAACGCCGCGUGAGUGAAGAAGGCCUUCGGGUCGUAAAGCUCUGUCUUUAGGGAAGAAAAACUAUGGUGAAAAUAUUGCCAUAGUCUGACGGUACCUGAGGAGGAAGCUCCGGCUAACUACGUGCCAGCAGCCGCGGUAAUACGUAGGGAGCGAGCGUUGUCCGGAAUUACUGGGCGUAAAGGGCGUGUAGGCGGGAAUUUAAGUAAGGUGUGAAAACUCCGGGCUCAACUUGGAGACUGCACUUUAAACUGGAUUUCUUGAGGGCAGGAGAGGAAAGUGGAAUUCCUAGUGUAGCGGUGAAAUGCGUAGAUAUUAGGAGGAACAUCAGUGGCGAAGGCGACUUUCUGGACUGCACCUGACGCUGAGGCGCGAAAGCAUGGGUAGCGAACAGGAUUAGAUACCCUAGUAGUC
Molecule: ribosomal RNA, 465 nt
Filed under: uncultured bacterium
Lineage: Bacteria
Description: partial 16S ribosomal RNA
Rfam family: Bacterial small subunit ribosomal RNA
Source: RNAcentral